RNAcentral lists this ribosomal RNA (212 nucleotides) under uncultured marine bacterium pC8-31. RNAcentral's name for it is "partial 16S ribosomal RNA". It matches the Rfam family "Bacterial small subunit ribosomal RNA", at positions 1170 to 1382 of the family's 1533-position model. The record is from RNAcentral. Lineage: Bacteria; Pseudomonadati; Pseudomonadota; Alphaproteobacteria; Candidatus Pelagibacterales.
AAGGUGGGGAUGACGUCAAGUCCUCAUGGCCCUUACGUGUUGGGCUACACACGUGCUACAAUGGUAUCUACAACAGGAAGCAAGACUGCGAAGUUAAGCAAAUCCCUAAAAGAUACCUCAGUUCGGAUUGCACUCUGCAACUCGAGUGCAUGAAGCUGGAAUUACUAGUAAUCGUGGAUCAGCGUGCCACGGUGAAUGCGUUCCCGGGUCUU